AGGCUGUCUCAUUACUCACAGGAACUGACGAGCUAGUAAGGCCUGGUUUAGAUCUAAAAAGUUUUUGGAUUUUGGUACAAUAGCAUUUUCGUUUGUAUUUGGUAAUUAUUGUCUAAUCAUGAGCUAACUAGGCUUAAAGAUUUGUCUUGCAAAUUAUAGGCAAAUUAUGCAAUUUGUUAUUUUUUUAUCUAUAUUUAAUGCUUCAUACAUGAGCCACAAAAUUUGAUGUGAUGAAAAAUCUUGAAAAAUUUUUGGAUUUUGGAUAGAAAACAAGGCAUGAUAUAUGGUGGCAACAUACACGAAAAGUACAGAUAGUACACAUGCGUUCAGAGUCCCAACACCAAUAAGCCAACUAGCAAUUAAGCUCCAGCCAAAUUUGGAGAUGCCCCAUCAAAGAGAAACCGAGAUUCUGAUGUUUCGAAAUUGUCCAAGCUCCCAGGAUUAUAAUAAAGUUGAUCUAUUUUCGGCUUUAAUUCUGAUGCUCAAGAAAACUAUGUUUAAGCUAGCAAUGAACACUUAAAAGCACAUGAAAGGUAUUCCAAUUACUUCCAGAAGAUAAACUUGUGAAAGGUGGCAGCAGCUGCGCCUCAAAUGUUCUCCCCAUCCCCAUGUUUAAUGUAUAGUAUUAACUCAAGUUUCACCAUGAAGAUUGUACACACACACAAAAAAAAACAAAAAAUGCAUCAGCAUACCACAGUAUACUUCAAAUCCUUUUUCAAUUCCAGAUCUUAGCUGAAGAAUGUUGUACAGAUCAAAAGUCCCCACAGCACUCAUGUGCCACCACCACCAUGUCCCUUCUGUCAAAUGUUGACCAUGAGAAUGACUAAUAUCCCCAGACUCUGCCUGGAUAAUGUUACUGCAAGUUUAACAUGUAAAAUGGAGGCCCCGGAUGACUGGAUCAAAACUAGACUGACUAUAAUCAAGUAAAAACUCGUGUCUGCCAUCCUUAUCCCACUGCAAACAACAGUAAAAUAAUUACUAAUAAGGGUGUUUAGCAGACAAAGUAUAACAACAGUAGCACCCAAAAGUUGUAUAGCAAAACAGUCUUUUAUCUGAUAUGUCACUAGAACCUUUGUGUGACUAGAUGAUGAUCUGCUCUACUCCAUCGAGAUUACCGUGGAAAAAGAACAUUGUAUUGUAGUAACCAAUAAUCACACUGACAUUAUCACAAAUACACAGAAGAAGACAAACGAUUGCUCAAAUAUCUCUAUGUGUUUGCUAUAAUCAUUUAAUAUUUUUCAUUAUAAGGUUUUAUGAUUACUGAUUACAAACAUUACUCUCAGUGCACAAUUUAUUCUCUAAUCUCAGUUCAUAUCUGCAACUAGAACUACGGGUCUGUUUGGUUCCCUGUAUAACCCCCUAGUCAGGCUUGCACAAUACUAGUUGGACUUAUUUGGUUCGUUGUCCUGCCUCCAAGCCUGUUUUGCGGAAGCCCAAAACGCACGGAUUCGCUGGCUUAGGGGAAACGCCUGAAUCGGCCUUCUUCGCAGAGCCAGGCUCCGGCCUCCCGUGCCCCCUCUCCUUGGCUCAACUUAGCUAGCAUAUAAAACUGGGACGAGCUAUCUGGGUGCAUUAGGGUUACCUCUAAUGUCCACCUGCCCCGCUGCUCUACACUCUCCUCUCACUCGCAGCUCUCUUCCUCCCUCCUCUAUCGCCGCCGCUAGGGUUCCCGCGGGUGCCUCGAUCCCAGGAGGUUGUAGGGCUUCCCCAGGUCGUCGCCGGUGAGAAGAUCCGGCUCUUACGAGAUCAACCCAACCUCGCAAGGGUUUCCUCUUCCUUCCUUCCUUCUCUCCUAGUGGAUCUGUUCAUCGACUAAUGCUCUGUUCUGUUAUCUUCGAAUCCACAUGGUUAGAGUUUGUUUGGUCUGAACAUUUUGUCGAUUAUUGAAAGUUGCUCCCUAUUUGUACCCCCACCUGUUAUGAGAUUAAUAUUAUCGUUUUUGCUGAGUUAUUUGGGUAUGGUCAAUGAUGUUUGCUUGAAUCUGGGUGGCGCAUUUUGGGUGUCGCAGCCGAUUCAUGCUUAAGUUAUUCUAGAUUAGGGUUUGUUCAUAGACAUGCACCAGCUAAUUCAUGGACUCAUGUCUUGCUUAGUGCUAUGGAUCCUGCUGUUAGGCGUCGUCAGCUUGUGAUUAGAGGAGCUUCACUGGUUGCUGUGAUUAGUGCUUGGAUGUUUGUUUGAUUUAGGAGGAUGUCCCGAACUAGGAGAGGCAUCACUUACGGUCCUAUGCCCGCCAGGGAUAGGGAAAGGAUGAACAAUCUCAGGUUCAUCUAUCACAGUGAUGAUGUUCGCUGUGUUGAGCUCCUUAGGAUGAAAAGGGCUCCUUUUUUCCAGUUGUGUGACCUAUUCAGGCAGAGGGGUCUUCUUAAAGACAACAUCAACAGUAACAUUGAGGAGCAAGUAGCAAUGUUCCUGCAUGUUGUAGGGCAUAAUCAAAGAUUCAGGGUUAUCAAGAUGACAUUUAGGAGAUCCAUUGAAACCAUUAGUAGGUACUUCUAGCAAGUCCUCUGGGCAGUAGGAGAGCUGAGGGCGGAAAUGAUUCAACCACCAGCAACUUCUGUGCCUACCAAAAUCCAGAACAGUAGGAAGUGGAAUCCUUUUUUAAGGUUGGGCAUUUGUUCUUUUUAUUAGUCGUUUAGUCUCCCUUUUUCUGUUACCUUCCUAAUGUUGAAUUGGUCGUUCCUUUAGGACUGCGUGGGAGCCAUUGAUGGCACCCAUGUUCUAGCUAGAGUCCCUACUAAGCAAAGAGCAGCAUUCAUGGGGAGGAAGUAUACCACUACACAGAACGUGUUAGCCGCUGUAGAUUUUGAUCUAAGGUUUUGCUAUGUACUUGCUGGGUGGGAGGGAUCUGCACACGAUGCCCUGAUUCUAGCAGAUGCAAUACAGAGGGAGGAUGCACGAACUGACAUUGCUGCUCCAGUUCCUGCAACACAACAAACCAAUUUCAGGUGAUGGUACUACAAACUGACAUUGCUGCUCUAGUUCCUGCAACACAACAAACCAAAGUUCGAUGGCAUCAAAGACUCACCUGAUUUGGGCAACCAAAAAAAUGCCUUCCAGUGUGCCUGCCCCCAGGCCUUCUUCAGAUUGGCGAACCGACCACAGGAGCACUUGGGGAGGUACACAGUCCCCAUUCCUGCCCAAUCGUCCUCAGUCAGGGCAUCAGGGAUCAGUGAAUCAGA
This 3179-nucleotide long non-coding RNA is filed under the name Sorghum bicolor (sorghum). Its description in RNAcentral is "long non-coding RNA (SBIC_LNC011632)". The record is from RNAcentral. Lineage: Eukaryota; Viridiplantae; Streptophyta; Magnoliopsida; Poales; Poaceae.